Molecule: ribosomal RNA, 1447 nt
Filed under: uncultured organism
Description: SSU rRNA
Rfam family: Bacterial small subunit ribosomal RNA
Source: RNAcentral
GCUACAGGCUUAACACAUGCAAGUCGAGGGGCAUCAGGAAGAAAGCUUGCUUUCUUUGCUGGCGACCGGCGCACGGGUGAGUAACACGUAUCCAACCUGCCCUUUACUCGGGGAUAGCCUUUCGAAAGAAAGAUUAAUACCCGAUGGCAUAAUGAUUCCGCAUGGUUUCAUUAUUAAAGGAUUCCGGUAAAGGAUGGGGAUGCGUUCCAUUAGGUUGUUGGUGAGGUAACGGCUCACCAAGCCUUCGAUGGAUAGGGGUUCUGAGAGGAAGGUCCCCCACAUUGGAACUGAGACACGGUCCAAACUCCUACGGGAGGCAGCAGUGAGGAAUAUUGGUCAAUGGGCGCUAGCCUGAACCAGCCAAGUAGCGUGAAGGAUGAAGGCUCUAUGGGUCGUAAACUUCUUUUAUAUAAGAAUAAAGUGCAGUAUGUAUACUGUUUUGUAUGUAUUAUAUGAAUAAGGAUCGGCUAACUCCGUGCCAGCAGCCGCGGUAAUACGGAGGAUCCGAGCGUUAUCCGGAUUUAUUGGGUUUAAAGGGAGCGUAGGUGGACUGGUAAGUCAGUUGUGAAAGUUUGCGGCUCAACCGUAAAAUUGCAGUUGAUACUGUCAGUCUUGAGUACAGUAGAGGUGGGCGGAAUUCGUGGUGUAGCGGUGAAAUGCUUAGAUAUCACGAAGAACUCCGAUUGCGAAGGCAGCUCACUGGACUGCAACUGACACUGAUGCUCGAAAGUGUGGGUAUCAAACAGGAUUAGAUACCCUGGUAGUCCACACAGUAAACGAUGAAUACUCGCUGUUUGCGAUAUACAGUAAGCGGCCAAGCGAAAGCAUUAAGUAUUCCACCUGGGGAGUACGCCGGCAACGGUGAAACUCAAAGGAAUUGACGGGGGCCCGCACAAGCGGAGGAACAUGUGGUUUAAUUCGAUGAUACGCGAGGAACCUUACCCGGGCUUAAAUUGCAGUGGAAUGAUGUGGAAACAUGUCAGUGAGCAAUCACCGCUGUGAAGGUGCUGCAUGGUUGUCGUCAGCUCGUGCCGUGAGGUGUCGGCUUAAGUGCCAUAACGAGCGCAACCCUUAUCUUUAGUUACUAACAGGUUAUGCUGAGGACUCUAGAGAGACUGCCGUCGUAAGAUGUGAGGAAGGUGGGGAUGACGUCAAAUCAGCACGGCCCUUACGUCCGGGGCUACACACGUGUUACAAUGGGGGGUACAGAAGGCAGCUAGCGGGUGACCGUAUGCUAAUCCCAAAAGCCUCUCUCAGUUCGGAUCGAAGUCUGCAACCCGACUUCGUGAAGCUGGAUUCGCUAGUAAUCGCGCAUCAGCCACGGCGCGGUGAAUACGUUCCCGGGCCUUGUACACACCGCCCGUCAAGCCAUGGGAGCCGGGGGUACCUGAAGUACGUAACCGCAAGGAUCGUCCUAGGGUAAAACCGAUGACUGGGGCUAAGUCGU